GAUGAACGCUGGCGGCGUGCCUAAUACAUGCAAGUCGAACGCUGAAGGAGGAGCUUGCUCUUCUGGAUGAGUUGCGAACGGGUGAGUAACGCGUAGGUAACCUGCCUGGUAGCGGGGGAUAACUAUUGGAAACGAUAGCUAAUACCGCAUGACAACAGUUAUUGCAUGAUAACUGUUUAAAAGGGGCAACUGCUCCACUACCAGAUGGACCUGCGUUGUAUUAGCUAGUUGGUGAGGUAACGGCUCACCAAGGCGACGAUACAUAGCCGACCUGGGAGGGUGAACGGCCACACUGGGACGGAAACAGGGCCCAGACUCCUACGGGAGGCAGCAGUAGGGAAACUUCGGCAAUGGACGGAAGACUGACCGGGCAACGCCGCGUGAGUGAAGAAGGGUGUCGGGUCGUAAAGCUCGGUUGUAGGGGAAGAACGAGUGUGAGAGUGGAAAGUUCACACUGUGACGGUAUCUUACCAGAAAGGGACGGCUAACUACGUG
This 495-nucleotide ribosomal RNA is filed under the name uncultured bacterium. Its description in RNAcentral is "partial 16S ribosomal RNA". It matches the Rfam family "Bacterial small subunit ribosomal RNA", at positions 28 to 507 of the family's 1533-position model. The record is from RNAcentral.